RNAcentral lists this ribosomal RNA (253 nucleotides) under uncultured bacterium. RNAcentral's name for it is "partial 16S ribosomal RNA". It matches the Rfam family "Bacterial small subunit ribosomal RNA", at positions 524 to 776 of the family's 1533-position model. The record is from RNAcentral.
UACGUAGGGGGCGAGCGUUGUCCGGAAUUAUUGGGCGUAAAGAGCGUGCAGGCGGUUCGGUAAGUCUGCCGUGAAAACCUGGGGCUCAACCCCGGGCGUGCGGUGGAUACUGCCGGGCUAGAGGGUGGUAGAGGCGAGUGGAAUUCCCGGUGUAGCGGUGAAAUGCGCAGAUAUCGGGAGGAACACCAGUAGCGAAGGCGGCUCGCUGGGCCAUUCCUGACGCUGAGACGCGAAAGCUAGGGGAGCAAACAGG